Molecule: long non-coding RNA, 4141 nt
Filed under: Ananas comosus (pineapple)
Lineage: Eukaryota; Viridiplantae; Streptophyta; Magnoliopsida; Poales; Bromeliaceae
Description: long non-coding RNA (ACOM_LNC012666)
Source: RNAcentral
AUUUGAAUUGUGCGAUUUGAUUGUAAUAAUUCUAAAAGUUCGAAAUAAAAAUUAUAAUAAAUUAAAAUAUAAUGACGAAAGUAUAUAUCAUGCCACACAUAGCUAGAGGACCAAAAGUGUAAUUUAUCCUUAUUUGAAAUUAAAAAUGCAAUAUGAGUAAUACAGCCUACAAUAUUUAAAUGCUUUAUGUAUAUUUAAAUUGAUAAAAACAUACAAAAUCUAUCUAAACCACGAAUCAUUUUUAAUCAGUUAUCUAAUUUUUUAGAGUAAACUUCAAAUAUCCUCAUAUAUGUUUCAUACUUUCUCACUUUAAUACCUAUACUUUAAAGUGUAUCAAGUUAAUUCCUGUGGUUUCGCACUAUCUCCCAAAAUCCAGUUUAGAUAUUGAUGCGCCGGAGCCAAGGAUCACUUUCGGUCUUUACUAAAUAAUCCAAAGGACCAAUUCUCAGAAUCAAUGUCACAAUGUAAUUCACAUAUUUUUGUACCUGUUGCAUCAUUUAUUAUUGUAGUAAUCAACACCUCAUCAUGCCAUCUACAUCCUCCAAUGUAAUUGGCACAUAAAAAAUUAAUAAAAACAUACAUAACUUACACCAUUUUAAAUCUAUUAUUUAAUUUUUAAAAAUUUUAAUUUUAUUAUCCAAAUUUUUAAUUUUAUUUAAUUUGAAUUAGACAAUAAUAUUUAACUUCAAAAUUUAAGAUUAUUAUUUAAUUUAAUAAAUUUAUAGUUACGAAAAUUGUACAUUUGUAUAAAAUAUACUAGCUAAAUUUAUUAAAGCAUACGAUGUAUUUAUAUUUUAAAAUUAAGAUAUCGUUGGCUGAUUCAAAUCAAACAAAUUAAAAGAUUAGAUAAUAAAAUUAAAAUUUGAAAGAUUGAAUAAACAAUUCAAAAUAUUUUAUAGUUUAGAUAAAUUUUAUAUAUUUUUAUCUUAAAAAAAAUGAAAUAAAAAUGUCUCCCGAAAAAGAUUGCUGACUCCUUGGCGCAACGAAGACCUCUCUCAACCAGUCCGUUUGGCGGGUCCAUUUUAAAAAUACUUAGAAGGCCAAAUUCUUUUUGGUUCGAAACUUUUUACUUGUUUCAUUCUAAUUUGAUUAAAUUUUGGAGGUAGAUAAGGCAUCUUUUUCUUUGCUAUUGAUUGCUUCUUCUGUGAUAGCAACAUUUGAUAAUAGAAAUAAUUCGGUAUGGCUAAAAUCAGUUGAAGUGUAUAUUGUAUCACAACGUAAAAAAGAUAUAUAUAAUUAUACUAUUGUAAUAAUUGUGAGUUUGAGAGGUGGGUCACCGACAUCUGUACUAUUUUAAUAAAAGGUUAAUUUCAUUUGUACCCUCACAAAGUUAUGAAAUAUCAUAAAUACCCUUUGAAUUUUUAAAAUUUCACAAAUACCCCUCUAAAUACAAUAUUUCUUUUAUAAAUAUCCUUACCGUUAUUUUUUGCUAACUUCCGUCAGCAUAGCAUUUUUUUUAUUUUAUUUCAAAAUAUGAAAUUACCAUUUUACCCUUAUUUUUUGUUUAAAAAUCAAACUUUUGUCACUUAUUUUUUGAUAUUUAUACUAAAACUAUCAACUAUAGGUCAUUUAAGUAAAUCCUUGAAGUUUUUAUUAAUUUUCUUUUUUGAACAUAAAAUUAUUUAAUUUUAUAUACUACGAAGUUAUUAAAAUUAUUAAAUUUGUUUGAAUCAUUAAUGGAUUAGAUAAAAUCUCUAAUUUAAUAAUAAAAAAUAAUUCAAUUUAAGAAAAUAAAAUUUAAGAAGACUUUAAUUAAAAAGUUAAAUUUAGGAGGGUAUUUCACAAUGGGUUGUAAUUGAGGGGGUCUCCAUAUAUUCAAAAAAAAAAAUUGUGAGAGUGGUGAUUAAAUUAAAAUAGAGGGUAAAACUGGUAUUUUGAAGCUAAUAUAACAGAUUGCUAGCAGUGAGGGUAUUUUUGAAACUUUUCCAUGCUUUUGGAGGACAAAUAUGAAAUUUUAAAAUUUUGAAGGGCAAUCAUGAAAUUAGAACUACUUGGAAGGGUAUUAAAGAAAUUUUCCCUUUAAUAAAUGUGUGCUGUAGAGUGAUCAGUCCUUUUUUCAUCUGUCGAGAAAAAAUCAUAACAUUUUUGAAAUUUUUUUUUUUAGAUUUGAGAGCGUUUUGCACGUUUUACCUAUCUAUCGGCCCUAUCAUCUAUUAUAUUAUCUCCUCAUCUUAUUUGUAGUAGUCAACACCACACGGUGCUUCGUCGUCCUCAUAAGUAAUUGGCACAUAAAAAAAAUUGAUAAAAACAUACAAAGCUUAUAUUAUUUUAAAUCAGUUAUUUAAUUUUUAAAAAUUUUAAUUUUACUAUCUAAUCUUUCAGUUUUUUUUUAUUUAAGUUAGUCAAUAAUAAUACUUUAACUUCAAAUUUUAACUUUAUUAUUUAAUUUAAUAAAUUUAUAAUUAUGAAAAUUAUAUAAAGUAUAUUACCUAAAUCUAUUAGAAUUGAUGAUGUAUUCAUAUUUUAGAAUCAAAAUACUGUUGAUCGACUCAAACAAAUUAAUAAUCUUAAAUAGCAAAAUUAAAAUUUUGAAAGAGAAUCAAAAUUUGUGUUGUGGAGAAUUAAUUUCUCCCUUGGCUUAAUUAGGGACCCGUGAAGGAGAGCUCUCAAUAUCCGGUCUAGACUUCAAUGGGCGCGGAGUCAACGAUCGUUUUCGGUCUUUACUAAACAAUCUCUAUUUAUUUAUUUAUUUAUUUUUUUAUGAGAUAGAUAGCACGCUGUCCGUUUCGUUUAUUUCAUUUAAAAAUAAAUUUAACUAGAAAUAUGAAUCAAUUAGAAUUCGAACUUAGAUUUUGAAUGCUAACAAUUAAGUCCUUUGCCACUUGUUCUAGAAACGGUCCGUGUCUUUACUAAACAAUCCAAGGACCAGUUCUCACAAUCAAUGUCACAGUGUGAUUCACAUUCUUCUGUCUCCGUUGCAUAAUCAACACCUCAUCUCGUCAACGCCAGCCUCGUAUGUAAUCCGCACAAAAAAAAAAAAAAAUUAAAAUAUAUAAAACUUACACCAUUUUAAAUAGAUUAUUUAUUAUUUAAAAAUUUUAGUUUUAUUAUUUAAUUAUUUAAUUUAUAUUGGUCAAUAAUAUUCUAACUUUAAAAUUUAAACUUGUUAUUUAAUUAAUAAAUUUAUAGUUGCGAGAAUCAUAUAGAAUAUAAUUACUAAAUUUGUUAAGGUAAAUAGUGUAUUCAUAUUUUAAAAUUAAAAUAUCAUUGAUUUAGUUAAAUCAAACAAAUUGAAAAAAUUCGAUUGUGAAAUUAAAAUUUAGAAAGUUGAAUAUUAUUGACCAAUAUAUCCAAAUAAAAUAUAACUAUAAAUCUAAGAAAAUCCUCUAAGUCAGGAAAGCAAUAAUUGCAAAAAGGUGCUAAUGCUCACUAGAUAGACCUUUUGAAGGAGGUAUUCUUUACUGACAAUUAAUAUUGUAUAAUUUGUAUACAAGGUGUUAGGAUUUGGUUAGAUUUAUAGUUAUAUUUUAUUUGGAUAAAAAUUAAUAUUUAAAUUUUUAAGAUAAAUUAAGAUUUAAAUAUUAAUUAGAGGAUAAACCUAACUAGAUUAGGAUUAAUAUUUAAAUUUAUUAGAGAUUGAUUAAGAUAGAUUUAGAUAUUAAUUAAAGUAUGAAUCCUAAAUAUAUUAGGAUUAGGGUACGUUUUAAGUUGAGCAUUAUAAAUAGACAUUGUGGCUCUCUUUCUUGAGUGUAGUACGGCUGGAACCAUUGGGGUGUCGUACCAGAGAGAGAAAAAGAGAGAGAGAGAGUUAUUUUAGUGCACCUUGUGCACGGGUGCACGCGGAGAGGUCUUUUUUGUGGGUUUAUAGAAGGCGAGAGAAGGGUAGAAGAGAUUCAAGAAAAAGGGAUCGGGUUGUAGCUAUUCUGUACAGAAGAGGAGUCAGGUGUAAUAUUCUCUUAUUUAAACUUUUAUCUUUUAUGAUUGUAUCAGUUUUUGCUGAGGAGACGGGUUUAUGGUAAAAAUUCGAUUUGACGUUUUCGCUGCGGAAUCCCAACAAUCGAUACCGGAUCCACAGCAGUCGGUAUCGGAGCGGAUUGCUGAUUCACGAGAUCCGGUACCGGGGCGAGUACCGGAUUCCCAACACAAGGUGCUAUUGGGAUCCGUUAAACUUUUUCGACACAAUUUGAGGAUGAAGAUAUCU